GCCCGGGUGGUGGAAUUGGUAGACACGCCAGACUUAGGAUCUGGUGCCGUAAGGUGUGUGGGUUCGAGUCCCACCCCGGGCACCA
This 85-nucleotide transfer RNA is filed under the name Opitutia bacterium. Its description in RNAcentral is "tRNA-Leu". It matches the Rfam family "tRNA". From Rfam's summary of the family: Transfer RNA (tRNA) molecules are approximately 80 nucleotides in length. Their secondary structure includes four short double-helical elements and three loops (D, anti-codon, and T loops). Lineage: Bacteria; Pseudomonadati; Verrucomicrobiota; Opitutia. The record is from RNAcentral.